Small nucleolar RNA from Cervus hanglu yarkandensis (Yarkand deer), 85 nucleotides. The record is from Ensembl. Lineage: Eukaryota; Metazoa; Chordata; Mammalia; Artiodactyla; Cervidae.
GUAGCCAGUGAUGAAGACUUCUCCCACUCAUGUUCGAGUUUCCCAACCGUGAGAUGACUCCACAUGCACUACCAUCUGAGGCCAC